Molecule: ribosomal RNA, 253 nt
Filed under: uncultured bacterium
Lineage: Bacteria
Description: partial 16S ribosomal RNA
Rfam family: Bacterial small subunit ribosomal RNA
Source: RNAcentral
UACGUAGGAUGCAAGCGUUGUCCGGAUUUACUGGGCGUAAAGCGCGCGCAGGCGGCACUCUAAGUACGUCGUGAAAUAUCCCGGCUCAACCGGGAGGGUGCGAUGUAGACUAGGGAGCUAGAGGUCGGUAGAGGGGGGUGGAAUUGCUGGUGUAGCGGUGAAAUGCGUAGAGAUCAGCAGGAACACCCGUGGCGAAGGCGGCCCCCUGGGCAACUGCUGACACUGAGGCGCGACAGCGUGGGGAGCAAACAGG